Harmonia axyridis is the source of this 137-nucleotide small nucleolar RNA. RefSeq annotates it as small nucleolar RNA SNORA53. The transcript has a single exon. NCBI's taxonomy places the organism in Eukaryota, Metazoa, Arthropoda, Insecta, Coleoptera, Coccinellidae. The record is from RefSeq and is a predicted model, not a curated record.
GGCACACCCCUUAGAUCCAUUUCCGCUUUCAUAGGAAAUGAUUGAGUCAUUGGUGUGCUAAAGCACGAUAACUCCAGUAUUAGUUAUCUAAUAUAAUGAAAUGCAUUCAUUUUAUGUUAUCUAAUUGUGGGGAACAA